Molecule: transfer RNA, 143 nt
Filed under: Acetobacteraceae bacterium H6797
Lineage: Bacteria; Pseudomonadati; Pseudomonadota; Alphaproteobacteria; Acetobacterales; Acetobacteraceae
Description: tRNA-Arg
Source: RNAcentral
GGACCCGUAGCUCAGCUGGAUAGAGCGUUGCCCUCCGAAGGCAAGGCUAAGUCAAGUGCGUUGUGGGUGAAGGCGAAGAAAAUCGAGGAAAACCAAGCGAUUGGCGGAACUCGAAGGAAACAGGAAAACUGCUUCCGUGGUCA